GUUCAACAAAAAACACAUUUUAAUUAAAUAACACAUUUUUCUCCAAAACAUGUUACCAUAUAUACACAGAUGAGCCAAAACAUGCCAAAUAUGCUGUUGGUCCUCCGCGUGCCGCCAAAACACUGCCGACCUGCCGAGGCAUGGACUCUAUAAGACCCCUGAAGGUGUCCUGUGGUAUCUGGCACCAAGACAUUACAGCAGAUCUUUCAAAUCCUGUAAGUUGCAUGUUGGGGCUGCUGUGGAUCGGACUUGUUGGUCCAGCACAUCCCACAGAUGCUCAAUUGGAUUGACAUCUGGGGAAUUUGGAGACCAGGGCAACACCUUGAACUCUUCUUCAUGUUCCUCAAACCAUUCCCAAGCAAUGUGUGCAGUGUGGCAGGGCGCAUUAUCCUGCUGAAAGAGGCCACUGUCAUCUGGGAAUAUCAUUGCCAUGAAAGGGUGUACCUGGUCUGCAAUCAUGUUUAGUGUAUCCUGGUUCCAUCACUUCCCCAGGAAAAUGGCACACAGCCGUCCAUGUGCUGUUAAAGAAAAGGGGACUCAUCGGACCAGGCACCCUUCUUCCACUGCUACAAGGUCCAGUUCAGAUGCUCUCGUGAACAUUGUAUGCACUUUCGACAGGGGUCAUCAGGGCACUCUGACCGGUCUUUCGCUAUGCAGCCCUAUACACAGCAGGUUUUGUGACACAUUCCUCCCGUAACCAUCAUUAACAUUUUCUUCCACAUUAGACCCUCUGUCGGUUUGGACCAGACGGGAUAGCCUUCAUUGCCCUUGUGCGUCGAUGAGCCUUGGGCAUUCACAAUACCAUGUCGCCAGUUUGUCUGCUGACCGGGAGAACCCCACAAGCCUUGCCUUUUCAGAGAUGCUCUGACCCAGUCAUCUGGCCAUAACAAUUUGGCACUCAGAUCUUUUUGAGGCCCCAAGACUGCAAUGCCCCCAGCCAAAGAACCAGGCCCAGUAUACACCUUGCCCCAGGUACAGCCAAUGACCACAGUCAGCACUGAGGUCAAAAGCCCUGGGGAAACCUCCAGAGAAAGUCUAGCUGGACAGAGAGCCUGGUUUCCUCAGUCACACUGUCUGGGUUUUCACCACCAGGUUGGCACUGGUCAAACAGAUAUCCUUUGGAAAACAGCCUGUAUAAUAAGGAAUAAAAUGGGCUUUCUAUUAAGGAAUACUCUAUCCAGCAUCUCUGUAUGACGUUCCUGGGACAGCCUGGGACACCUCGUGACACCCCAAGAAGCAGCUGAAGAUGCUACCCCCUAGUCUGUGGGCUGUGUGCGCCUGGGGGCGUAACAUAUCCCAGGGGGCGUGGCCAUGGUGGCAUGCUAGAAUCCUUGGUUCCAAAAGCCUGUGCCCAGACAAACUCCUCUCACCUCCCAAAAAAAUAAAAGAACACUGAAGCGCUUCAUAGGUUUUUCUGGUACUAAAGACCUCCUGUUUCAUGUGGAUGCUGACAAACAAAUUUGAAACAAAAGACAUAAUAAUGAUGAAUUGGAUGGCAACUCCACUGUUGUCUCAGUUUUUAAUCUCUACAUUCCAAAAUGGAAGAAGGCCCUGUUUUUUGAAUGCAGAUGUUUGUGUUUAAAAAAAAAAAAAAAUAGCCCCUCUUGCAAUGUGUCUAAGAAGUGUUUAGUGGAUUUAGGAUUUGGAAUGCAUGAAACUUUAUAAACAAGACCUUACACUGUUCACCAUUUCAAUCACCGAGGCCAUAAGACACUGGAUAAUGAUGAUAAUUUAAAAAGCUCAGUAGGAUUUCUCAAAAAGAAGAAAAGUAGACAACACUGAAUCUGGCCACACAGGAUGGGAGGAUCAUCAUUCAGGAGGUUUUGGUUACACCAUGAAAGCUGAAUGUGGCCAGGUUUGUUUUUUAGCCAUUGCAAAGCCAUUAAUAAGAAAAAAACAACCCCAAAACAUUUGGGUUUCUUUCGUUUCUUAAUCUCUCCACAACGUUUGGGUAUCUGAUGUAAAUUUUUGUUGCACUGUAUUUGCCUAAUUUUCUGUUACAGGAUAGCGGAUUCGCCUUAAUCAUUCCAUGUUUUUUUUAAUUUAAAGCGAUAAAUCUUAUUUUUUUACAUUUUCUGUCCAUUAAGCAGAUUUUUCAUUGCAGUCUUUUUUAUGUAAUAAUAAUGACAGCUGGAUCACUGGCUACAAG
Long non-coding RNA from Esox lucius (northern pike), 2149 nucleotides. NCBI's taxonomy places the organism in Eukaryota, Metazoa, Chordata, Actinopteri, Esociformes, Esocidae. The record is from Ensembl.